AUUUAUAUAGUUUAUUAAAAACUUCACAUUUUCAUUGUGAAAAUAAAAUUUCAUAUUUUUAUAAAUA
RNAcentral lists this transfer RNA (67 nucleotides) under Pareronia hippia. Its description in RNAcentral is "tRNA-Glu". It matches the Rfam family "tRNA". From Rfam's summary of the family: Transfer RNA (tRNA) molecules are approximately 80 nucleotides in length. Their secondary structure includes four short double-helical elements and three loops (D, anti-codon, and T loops). The record is from RNAcentral. Lineage: Eukaryota; Metazoa; Arthropoda; Insecta; Lepidoptera; Pieridae.